This 91-nucleotide transfer RNA is filed under the name Limosilactobacillus mucosae. RNAcentral describes it as "tRNA-Ser". It matches the Rfam family "tRNA". Rfam says of the family: Transfer RNA (tRNA) molecules are approximately 80 nucleotides in length. Their secondary structure includes four short double-helical elements and three loops (D, anti-codon, and T loops). RNAcentral also lists the same sequence under 2 other names. Lineage: Bacteria; Bacillati; Bacillota; Bacilli; Lactobacillales; Lactobacillaceae. The record is from RNAcentral.
GGAAGCAUGGUCGAGAGGCUUAGGACGCUGGUUUGCUAAACCAGUAAAGUCUUUAAAAGGACUUUCGCAGGUUCGAAUCCUGCUGCUUCCG